GGGUUGUGAGGUUAAGCGACUAAGCGUACACGGUGGAUGCCCUGGCAGUCAGAGGCGAUGAAGGACGUGCUAAUCUGCGAUAAGCGUCGGUAAGGUGAUAUGAACCGUUAUAACCGGCGAUUUCCGAAUGGGGAAACCCAGUGUGAUUCGUCACACUAUCAUUAACUGAAUCCAUAGGUUAAUGAGGCGAACCGGGGGAACUGAAACAUCUAAGUACCCCGAGGAAAAGAAAUCAACCGAGAUUCCCCCAGUAGCGGCGAGCGAACGGGGAGGAGCCCAGAGCCUGAAUCAGUGUGUGUGUUAGUGGAAGCGUCUGGAAAGGCGCGCGAUACAGGGUGACAGCC
RNAcentral lists this ribosomal RNA (344 nucleotides) under Escherichia coli. RNAcentral describes it as "partial 23S ribosomal RNA". It matches the Rfam family "Bacterial large subunit ribosomal RNA", at positions 1 to 372 of the family's 2925-position model. The record is from RNAcentral. Lineage: Bacteria; Pseudomonadati; Pseudomonadota; Gammaproteobacteria; Enterobacterales; Enterobacteriaceae.